Molecule: ribosomal RNA, 613 nt
Filed under: uncultured bacterium
Lineage: Bacteria
Description: bacterial SSU rRNA
Rfam family: Bacterial small subunit ribosomal RNA
Source: RNAcentral
CCUACGGGAGGCAGCAGUGGGGAAUAUUGGACAAUGGGCGAAAGCCUGAUCCAGCAAUUCCGCGUGUGUGAAGAAGGCCUUCGGGUUGUAAAGCACUUUAGUUGGGGAAGAAACAGCUUGGCCACACCAAGCCUUGACGGUACCCAAAGAAUAAGCACCGGCUAACUCUGUGCCAGCAGCCGCGGUAAUACAGAGGGUGCAAGCGUUAAUCGGAUUUACUGGGCGUAAAGGGUGCGUAGGUGGUUUUGUAAGUCGGAUGUGAAAGCCUGGGGCUCAACCUCAGAAUUGCACUCGAUACUGCAAGACUAGAGUUCGGUAGAGGGCGGCGGAAUUCCCGGUGUAGCGGUGAAAUGCGUAGAUAUCGGGAGGAACAUCAAUGGCGAAGGCAGCCGCCUGGGCCUGAACUGACACUGAGGCACGAAAGCGUGGGUAGCAAACAGGAUUAGAUACCCUGGUAGUCCACGCUGUAAACGAUGAGAACUUGACGUUGGUUCGUUUUACGAAUCGGUGUCGCAGCUAACGCGAUAAGUUCUCCGCCUGGGGAGUACGGCCGCAAGGUUGAAACUCAAAGAGUAGUAGGCGUGNGAGAGCGACGACGACGACGAGGAGGAGG